UUGUGUAAAAACAACAGAGCACAAAUCCUUCCUGGAUGUGCAGAAAAGAGGUAUGCUGUUGUCGGAGGCUUUCAUGGCCAGGAUCAAAGGGUUGUUGUGUGUUUUCCGGGCAGUACUUCUGGAACAUGGCCAUACUGCCCGGAAAACACACAACAACCCAAAGAGGUAUGCUGCUUAUAUCCAAGAUAAGAAAUCAGAACAAUGUUAGAUCACUUGUAUUCCUGUCCUACCAUAACAUUGUUGUAGUGACUGAACCAUCACAGAUGUUUAAAGAUCAAAACUGUGGUAGAAAUUUAAAACAGCUUUUCCAGUAUGGCUUCCUCCAGAUAUAUUGGACUACAUUUCCAAUCAUUCCCAUCCAUCAUGGCUAUUAGUCACAUUAAUGAAAGUCUAAGAACAAGGUUCAAAACUAAAAACAGUUUGAAAGUCUAAAAGCCUUAACAGUGUUAUACAAUGACAAAUAAUUAUUUUCCCUUUCACUCCAGCUUAGGCCUCCACACCCUUCAGCUUGUUACUCUGAGUUCUGUAAUGAUCAUCAGAUCACAUUUUGAUUUAUGGAAACCCUCCAUGAAUUCCAUAGGGUUUAUUUAGGCAAGUAAUACACAAAAGUGAUUCGGCCAGUUUCUUCCUCUGAAAUAAUUAUUUUCAGUGCCAUCUCUCUUGAUCUUUUCAUCUAGCAAACUUUCAUCAUUAUUCUCGGAGGGUCUUUUGCAGCCAAAUGUAUUCUCUAUCUUGCUAAGAUAGCAUCAGAAUGUGUUCACCAUCAAACCAUCCCAUAUUCUGCUAUUCUUCCUCACUGCAUAUCAAUUUCACCUCGUGUCAUUGAGCUCCUUGCUAAGGAGGAAACUAGAAACCACACUGUUGUUUUGAAAAUAAUGUCAAUAGCAGUGGGUUCCACAUAGUUCCCCUAUCUCAGAAUUUGUUGUUGUUUGCUGUCUCCUAGAGGAUAAGAAAAUGCAGGUACAUGGGUGGAACGAUGCCUUGAUUUUUCCAUUGUUCUUGGGAGAAGUCCAAAAGAUACAGAAGGUAACAUUCUUGCCAGAUGUUUUUGCGAAGAGAUCAUUGAGUGAAAUUGGGGCCAGGGCAAGCGAAUGGAGUUUCAAGAAUUGGAGCUAUGCAUAUGUUUGGAUUUACCAUAAGGAAAUAGCAGGCAGACCCCUCCCAGGCAGCAAAUUUAAGCUGGCAUCCAAGGACAAUGAAUAAUUAGUCAUUCAGUUUGCUAGCGACAGGGAAUUGGAAGGAUGCUCGUAGUGUUUGAUGCCUCAUGUGUUAAAAUCACUCAGCUGCAUUUGGUUAGUAUGCAUUUAAUCAUGGUAAUUGUGAGAUGGUUUUUGUGGCUGUGCCUCAGACAGCAAGAUGUCUCAAGUAAUCCAUGCUAUGAUUACCUAAGCUGUAGACUCUAAGGCCAGGAACUGGAAGGACUGUCAUAAUGUGAAGAUCCACACAUGGGAAAGAUUUGGAUUUAGGGUGCUCUUUGUCAAGCAAGUGACUACCAUUUCAUUAGAACAGCUUCAGACUUAGGACUAGAACGAUGCUGGUCUUUCUUCUGGCCCUUCCACACUGCCCUUUAUCCCAAAAUCUGAUCCCAGAUUAUCUACUUUAAAGUGGAAUAUAUGGGUCCCCACUGCCAGAUAACCUGGGAUAAACAGAUAAUCUGGGAUCAGAUGCUGGAAUAAAGGGCUUUUAGUGGAAGAACAAUUGUCUAGAAUCAUAAAAUUGUAUAGAAUCACAGAGUUGGAAGUGGCCACAUGGGCCAUCCAGUCUAACCCCAUGCUAUGCAAUAAAGCAUAAUCAAAGUACCCGCAACAAUAGCUACUGUAAGGAUGUGAAUUCUACUGCUUUUUGCAGAAAAAUAUUAGAGAUUAUUUGGGAAUUUGGGGCUUGCAUUUUCCCUCUCACUUUCUAUUUUGUGGAAAUUAUACCAAACGUCAUACCUCCCUAUUGCCUACCAAUCCCAUAAUUUGGGUAUGCUGGAAAAGUAGCCAUUUUCCAUGUUUGUCUUUCUUUCCCCUCAUCAUUGAAAAAUGAAGUAAGAUCAUAUUCUAUUUCAGUUGCUUCAGAUGAUGUUCAAUUGUGGAAUGGGGUCUCACAGAUCGUCAUGACCUGAUUCAUCCCCACCCUUUUCACUCUUUUUUAUCAUUACCCAAACAAUAACAUUGAAUUAUUAACAGUUUUCCUCACCAUGGAGCCAUCUGGAUUGUUUUGUACUACAACUUCCAUAAGCCCCAACCAACAUGGCACAUGAUAGGGGCUAAGGAAAUUGUAGUCCAAAUAUGCAGAGGGUACCAUGGGUGUAGAUUUAGAUUGAUUCCAGUGCUGUAUGACCACUGCAGAAACCCCCCCACAUUUCUGAACUUCAUCAGGUUGAUUUGGAUCCAUUUGGGCAAGUUCCAAAUUGGAUGAGACCAAUCUGAAUCAGUGGCACACAGUCCUGAUCCAAAUUUAAUUAAUCCAGAGUGUCUGGGGGAGCAUACAUCUCAUCCAACUACAUCAUAAUACCACACAGGGCAAAUGCCGCAAUGGGAAGGAAAUUAGUUGCUCAGUGAUAGUUCUGCCUCUAGUGUGGGGUGAAAACCUUACUAACAAUCUCCAGUCACAGUAGAUGUGAGGUGGAAAGCAAAGAGUGGAGCGCUAUUUGAACUAUCCCAUGCCCAGCCCUUUUUAUAGCCUGGUCACGCCCAUUGUACUACUGGCAUUUGUGAAGAGCUGGACCACAAACAUGACCAGAGAGACAAAGGAGAAGAUGAUGGCAAGAAUCAUGAAAGCCUGUACAGCCUUGAGGGCCGCUAAUAACACAUGGGAGAGAGAAAAGGAAAAAAGGUAUCAAUCUGGAGUUUCCUCCUAAUGCCAAAAUGUACAACGGUACUUUAAUAGUACAUUAAGUAGCAGUAAAUAGUCUCUUACAUUGCUCACUCUCGGGAAAGGUAAGCUCUCUGCACUGGUCAUUUGCACAUUGAAGCCAGAGACCAGAUGAGUUUGUUACCGUGUUAUUCUUGCCUGCCAUCCAAACCUAAAACAAAACAGAACAGAUAUAAAUGUAUUUUUUGCUCAGCCUUAAAAAAAAUGAAUUAACCAGGCUUAUGCUAGAACAGCAUGAAGUACCUAAGCUUCAGACAUAUUCAGAAAUGAAGUCGACUAUUACUGGAUUUCUGAUGGCUGUAUCUUGGAGAGGUUGACACUAUUACAUAAAAAAGACUUACCUGUAUAUACUCAAGUAUAAGCUGACUCAAAUAUAAGCCGAGGCGCCUAAUUUUACCACAAAAAACUGGGAAAACGUAUUGACUUGAGUAUAAGAUGAGGGUGGGAAAUGCAACAGCUACUGGUAAAUUUCAAAAAUAAAAAAUACCAUUUUCAUUAAUUGAGGCAUCAGUAGGUUAAAUGUUUUUGAAUAUUUACAUAAAACUGUAAUUUAAAUUAAUAAUAAGACUUUAAUAAGAUUAGACUGGCUAACUCUGGUUACCUAUAUAUUUGAGUAUAAACUGACCUGAAUAUAAGCUGGCCAGGACCCUCAGGUGAGUAAAAGCCAAGGGGGGCUUUUUCAACCCUAAACAGGGCUGAAAAGGUUGGCUUAUACUUGAGUAUAUAUGGUACAAAUGAUGUUACCAGAAACUGAAUAUCAGUGUGCAAUCUGCAGAAUCUAUGUAUCUGUAUUUGCUUUUCUUCACUCCUAUUUGCAAACUUGGGACAGCAUAAACUCAAAUAAAAAGUAAAUUCACAUGGUGAAGUUCAUUACAGAAUUAUUGAUGUUACACAAAUAAAUGCAUGCAGAAACACAUAAUAUGAUUUAAAGCAGGAGUGUAAAGUCUCUCUGUCAAGGGGCCUCAUUGGGCCUCCAGCUGAAUCCAUGCUAUUGCCAUAGUUCAAAAAGAAGAGGGACCUGUAGCAUUCAACUGAUUGGUGAAAGAGUCUAAUGACAUGAAGGCUGAGAAGCGUGUUCUUUCUGCUUCUCGGCGCUGCUGGCAUGCUGCCAGCACGGAGUCCACCAGAGCCCAUUAGAUGAUGCAGAGCAACUUCCGGUGAGGCUCCGCUGGGCUUCAUGUAAGCAGCACAGAGAGCAUGGAGCCCCAAGGAGUCGGGUACAUAGAAGAAGCUGGGGAGAAUGCGGGAAGAAGCCGGGGACCAUAGGGAAACAUUGUAGGAAGAGAUCCCACACUAACAAUGAUAAGAGCACAAACGGUACGCUGCCUCACUGUUUCCCCCCGCUGUCCCCUGACUUCUCGGCCUCCCUGUGAUGAGGUCCUAAAAGAGGUUUAGAAAAUGCUAUAAUCUUCCAACUAGAGGUCAGGUCAGAACCCCUUUGGGAUAUCUUUGACUCAUGCAAAAGGGAAGCUGAAUUCCAAUAGUCAGCAGCUGAAACAUACAAUGUUAAAUUGUCCAUAAUUGUACUGUGCUCUAAGAAACCUUAUAAUGAUGAAGCCAUUCACACCAUGGUGUUUCUUACUGUAGUGCCAAAUUUCUAACUGCUUGGAACAUAGAAUGGAAUGCUGGGGGAUGAGGCAGUUUGAAGCAAGAAUUGUUAGUGGAAUGUAGAAAGAGCCAAGAGCCCUGAGAAGAGCAGUAGCGGUUCUUUUCUUGCAGAGGCCAUUAAAGAUUCCCUGAACUAUUUGCUUUGCUAGUCUGUUGUUGUAUAUUCUGACUGGCAACAAUUCCCAAGGACCUCAGAUAGUGUUUUCCCAUCAUCAAUUUCCUGAUCCUUUUAAGUGGAGAUUAGAUCUGGGUGUUAACAAAAUGUCGGUGUACAACAAAAGAAAUUUAAAGAUGAGCUUAAAGGUAACCUAGUCAAAUGUAGUAUAAAUACCAAGAACUGGGAGGCCCUUGCACUCGAAUGUUGUAACUGGGUGAUCUACCUCUGGAAGGCUAUCAUACCUAGACAAAAGUGAUUGCCCAUGGGUAUUUCUGAUUGCAAAGUAUGUGCAUAUAAGCCAAGCUCUCUUCCCUACAUUCUUAAAUUCUUUUCCAUUAAGCUAAUAUGUAUAGUCCUUGAGUGUUUCUGUUUCUGCUUUCUCUGCAAAUUUUCAAGCUUUUUUUUCACAACUUUGGAAGUGUUCUGUGUGUGUGUCAAAAAAUAAAAUGUAUUUAUUUUAUUUAUUUACUGCAUUUAUAGCCCAUCCUUCUCACCCCAAAAGGGACUCAGGGCAGCUCACAAAAAAGGCAUAAUCAAUGCAACAUAUAGAUACAUAGGGUAAAACAACAUAUAUAAAUUAUAAUCAAUAAUCAAAACAUCAUGAUCUUAAAACCAAUUCCUUAAAAACCACGCAGUCCAAAAGCAUAUUCCAGGAGCCAUUCCAAUCAUAAAUUGCACUAUCCCAUACAGGCAUGUAGCCGGGGGGGGGGGGGGGGGGGGGGGGGGGGCUUGAGGGGCUUCACAAGAAGGCCUUACAUUUAUUAUUUAAACUGUUACGUUCAUUCCUAUCAGGAUCUGAUCACCAUGCUCAAUAUAUCUCAUGCAUGGGGGUAUUGGGAUAACAAUACAAAAGGUUUGCUAGGGUAGAUCCUCUCUCACUAAGACUCACCCCCCCCCCCCCCCCCAAAUCAAAAUCCUGGCUACGAGCCUGAUCCCAUAGUUACUUCUUGCAUUGCAGAUUAUUGUCCAAAGGCUUGGUCCCACAUCCAUGUCUUCUCUUUCCUCCUGAAGGACAGAAGGGAGGGAGCUAAUCAAAUUUCACUGGGGCAGGAGUUCCACCACUGAAAAGGCUUUGUCUCUCAUCCCCAUCAGUCGCUCCUGCGAAGGAGGCAGGAUUGAGAGCAGGGCCUCAAUCUUAACCUCCAAGAUGAUUCAUAGAGGGAGAUACGUUCAGAUAGGUAGGCUAGGCCAGAACCGUUCAGGGCUCUAUAGGCUAAAGCCAGUAAUUUGACUUGGGCUCGGUAGCAGACUGGUAGCCAGUGGAGCUGGCGCAACAGGGGGUUGUAUGCUCCCUAUACCCCGCUCCAGUGAGGAAUCUCUCUGCUGCCCGUUGGACCACUUGAAGCUUCUGAACAGUUUUCAAAGGCUGUUGAACAUGUACAGCACGUUGCAGUAGACUAUUCGGGAUGUAACGACAGCAUGGACAGCAAGGCCAAGUCUGGCUUCUCAAGGUAUGAGCACAACUGGCACACAAGUUUUAAUUGUGCAAAAGCUCCCCUGGCCACCAUCGAAACCUGGCAUUCCAAGCUCAGCUACAAAUCCAAGCUGCGAACCUAUGUCUUCAGGGGGAGUGUAACCCCAUCCAGCACAGGCUGUAACUCUAUACCUGGUUCAGCCUUUUGAUUGACCAGGAGUAUCUCUGUCUUGUCUGGAUUCAAUUUCAAAAGAAAACCAGAUUAUCUGAUGUGGACAUAUUUCAUCAGAUGAUAUGUGUAAAUGGAGUAGAUCUGACUUGACUUUUUCUGAAGAGUCGAAAUCUAAUGGACAAUCCAUGAAGCUCUCAUCUAUUAAAUAAAGUAUCUGAUUUCUUUUUUUAAAAUUGCUCAGCAUCAGUAUGCCUGAUAUACUCUGGUUCUUGCACAGUAAAACAUACCUUUGUUGGAGUAAUAUGAAAGGGUUUAUUGGCUUGUUGCCAUUUGCAACAAGACAGUCAUUUAUUUCUGAGACCCUUCCUCAGAACUGUGUUUCAAGAAUUACCACCAUGCACAUGUACACUCAAAUUAAGUAAACUACCUUUCAGAUUCUGAGAAACCUCUUAAUAAAAUAAACAAACCAAUAAAUAAGAGUUUUUAAAAUCCCUCUUAGAACAUACUUUGGGGGAGGGUUAAUUUUGUGGGAGCUAGAAUGUUGGUAAUUUGAUAAAGCAUGAUUUAUGCUAUCCCUGAUGGUUACAUGGGAUGUAUAUGGAUUUCAACAAAUGUAUAUUGUUUUAAGUUAUUGAUCUUAUACUACCAUAACUUAUUUAAUUUUUUAAAAUGUUUUUAUUAUUUAUUUUUAUUUUAUGUGUCUUGUUUUCAUGCAAGGUGUGAGCCAUCUUUGGCCCAAUGUAGGAGAAGGACAUGUUAUUAAGUAAAUAAAUAAAUAGACAGAUCAAGAGGGAAACCCACACGGGAAAACACAGCCCCAUUGGUCGGUUUCCAGCAUAUUUCCUGAAUUGUUCAUUCAGUACUUAGGACGGGAAGCUGCUUUUGGACUAGAAGGAAUGACUAUGAUCUCCUCAAGCUUCUCCCUGCAGACCACAGAGGCUGUUCCCUUGGAUGUCUACUCAGGCAUCCUGGAACAACAGAGUGCUGAUAAAAUAAAAAGAACUCCCUGUGGUUUCCUGA
Anolis carolinensis (green anole) is the source of this 7230-nucleotide long non-coding RNA. RefSeq lists it as uncharacterized. Lineage: Eukaryota; Metazoa; Chordata; Lepidosauria; Squamata; Anolidae. The record is from RefSeq and is a predicted model, not a curated record. The transcript is spliced from 2 exons.